AGCUUUGCACAGUGACAGUAUCGUAGCCAAUGAGGUCUAUCCGAGACGGGAUUAUUGCUAAUUGAAAAGGAUACUGUCUCUUUUCUCUUUCCUGGUCAAAGAAAAAGGGUAAUACUCUUUUACUUUGAUUUCAG
Molecule: small nuclear RNA, 134 nt
Organism: Phyllostomus hastatus (greater spear-nosed bat)
Lineage: Eukaryota; Metazoa; Chordata; Mammalia; Chiroptera; Phyllostomidae
Product: U4 spliceosomal RNA
Exons: 1
Source: RefSeq, a predicted model, not a curated record